This 1578-nucleotide long non-coding RNA is filed under the name Vulpes vulpes (red fox). RNAcentral's name for it is "lncRNA (ENSVVUG00000023957.1)". The record is from RNAcentral. Lineage: Eukaryota; Metazoa; Chordata; Mammalia; Carnivora; Canidae.
UAGUCCAGCGGCGUUUAAUGCAGACCACGACCCGGAACUUGUGUGUUGGGGCCACUUGUGCACGCGUCCCACUGGCGGCAGCAACAUGCGAGGAACAAAGGUGAGGGAGCCUGGAGACCUCCGACCGGCUGGCUGGUUCAAGACACAUGGACUUGAAGGGGAGAGGGACACGUGCAGGGGAUGCAGGGCGUGUGUGCAUGUGUGUGCGCCCGUGUGUCUGUGUGCGUGUCUGUGCACAACUGUGUGUGCACGUGUGUCUGUGUGCGCCUCUGUACAUGUGUGUACGUGUCUGCACACACGUGUGUGAGCCCAUGUGUACACGUGUGUCUGCAUCUGUGCAUGUGUGUAUCUGUGCACAAGUGUGUGAGCCCACGUGCACAUGUGUGUCUGCAUCUGUGUGUCUGCACACAAGUGUCUGAGCCCAUAUCACACGUGUUUCUGCAUCUGUGUGUGCAUGUAUGUGCACAAGUGUGUGUGCCUGUGUGCACGUGUCUGCAUCUGUGCAUGUGCAUGUCUGUCAUAGUGUGUGCGCACAUGUGUGUCCGCAUCUGUGUGUGUCCGUGCGUGGGUGUGUAGCUGUGUGCACAAGUGCCCAUGUGCCAGGGGAGGCCGGCAGGACGGGUGGAGGAGGCGGAGAGUUCGUUAAUUUUUCCUGCACAUGGUAAAUAUAAUUUCCUCUUGAGAUUUUGAGAGCGGUUUCUGAAGAGACGUGUUUGGCCUUUGGAUUCACAGCACUUGGGCCCCAUGAGUGUGUCUGUGCUCCCGUGUGUGCAGGACCACUGCUGCGUGCACGCAAACAGGCCGUCGCUCCCAAGGCCCUGCCCGGGGUGUGGCGGACGCUUGGACCUCCAGGCGGGCCACGGUCGCGGUGAGGCCCCUCGGGGUUCCCUGAUGGCCUGUCACCCCGGCACGUGCGCUGCAGGUUCACUGGGUACCUACACCUCUGGGCUGUCCCCGCCCCGCGCCGAGGGUCCCAGGGUCAGAGGGUCUCAGGAGGCACACGGAGCGCGUGCACAGCUGCUCGGGCCACAGCAGGGACUGCGGAGGGCGCCACCCUCGGAUGGAGACAGCGUGGAGCGAGGUCACGUGGAGUGGGCACAUGGGGCAGGAACCCGUGGGGGCAGGCCCUGGUGGGGGCAGACCCAGGUGGAGCAGGCCCCGGGGGGCGGGGGCAGGCCUGGGUGGGAGCAGGCCUGGGUGGAGCAGGCCUGGGUGGAGCAGGCUCAGGUGGGAGCAGGCCUGGGUGGAGCAGGCCUAGGUCGGGGCAGGCCCGGGUGGAGCAGGCUGGUUCCCCAGGGAUAGUGACCGUGGGGGACGUGGGGGACGGGUCUGGGCCCCCAGCACUGAGGGGCAGGGGCUCUCCGUAGCCUGAGUGACCUUGGCCUGUCCUUCAUCCCCGCCCCCUCUGUGAGCUCAUGGGCAGCGCCUCCAGGCAAACUGGGGGGAUAGGCCUGUGGAGCCCCAGCGCUCUGCUCCCACGUCUGCAGUUGUGUGUGUGUGUGUGUGUGUGUGUGUUUAAUUUCAAUUCUCCACCAUAUGAUCUAACACCCUGUGCUCCUCCCAUCACGUGCCUCCUUC